This 460-nucleotide ribosomal RNA is filed under the name uncultured bacterium. RNAcentral describes it as "partial 16S ribosomal RNA". It matches the Rfam family "Bacterial small subunit ribosomal RNA", at positions 338 to 795 of the family's 1533-position model. The record is from RNAcentral.
CCUACGGGGGGCAGCAGUGAGGAAUAUUGGUCAAUGGCCGUAAGGCUGAACCAGCCAAGCCGCGUGAAGGAAGAAGGAUCUAUGGUUUGUAAACUUCUUUUAUAGGAGAGUAAAGGUAUCUACGUGUGGAUAUUUGCAUGUAACCUACGAAUAAGCAUCGGCUAACUCCGUGCCAGCAGCCGCGGUAAUACGGAGGAUGCAAUCGUUAUCCGGAUUUAGUGGGUUUAAAGGGUGCGUAGGUUGUUUUUUAAGUUAGCGGUGAAAGCUUGGAGCUCAACUAUGGAAUUGCCGUUGAAACUGGGAGUCUUGAGAGUGUAUGAGGUAGGCGGAAUGCGUGGUGUAGCGGUGAAAUGCAUAGAUAUCACGCAGAACUCCGAUUGCGAAGGCAGCUUACUAAGCCAUAACUGACGCUGAGGCACGAAAGCGUGGGGAUCAAACAGGAUUAGAUACCCCUGUAGUC